This is a non-coding RNA of Potamilus streckersoni, 84 nucleotides long. The record is from the annotation of a GenBank genome assembly. Lineage: Eukaryota; Metazoa; Mollusca; Bivalvia; Unionida; Unionidae.
GCUUUUAUGGCCUAGUGGUUAGAGCGUCCGUCUCGGAUUCAGGAGGUAGUAGGCUCGAUCCUUGGUCGAGUCAUACCAAAAGCU